CCGAAUUUCUGCGCCGUUACUCUGGAAAAAUCACUCCAAAACCCUCAUUAAAAAGCUCCGUUUUGAACUUGUUGAGAUUUUCACACCGAAGCUCAACAAGCUCGAGCUAGACCCCUGCUAAACCAAAGCAAUCACUACAUCAGUAAUAAGCGAAGGAAAAGAAGAACGUCAAGGGAGAGGAUCCCAAGGAGAAGAAACAAAAAGAGACUGAAGAAGAUCGCUUACCCGAGGUCUUAGGUGCUUACAGUAGUUGAUUCGAUCCCAUGAAGAAAGUUAGAAACUUGAAGAAGAGAUUGGAAAGACCCGUUGAGUUGGAUAAAAUCAACAAUGAGACUAGGGUUCAAGAUGUCGAUUGGAUUUGCUCUCUUUCAGAGUCUGAGAUUGAUUUUAUGAUUAGCUUGAAACUGUUGAUCACAAAGCGAGCAGAAAGGAUAGGGUGUAAAAACUUGGCUGACAGAUUUGACCUUAAGACGAUUCGAGCUAUUGCAUUUGUUUUGAUGGAAAAUCUCAAAACAGAGGUAAAAGAAACAUCACUUGUACCAGACACGGUAAAAUCUACUGCCUUCUUAGAUGCUUGCAACAUACUUAAAUGUAGUAAUGUGGUUUCUGCAACUAUUGAAGAGCUUAGUAAAACUGUUGGUGCUGAUAUACAACCUAUUCUAACAAGGUUACAUACCCUACAAAAUUAGCUUGUAAGGCGGGGGAGUCAACUUAUGUAAACACAUUUUCAGGUCUUAUCGUCAAAUAUGAUACUAUUAAUACAACUCUCUCGAGUCCAAAGAUUGAAUAUCUGAAGUGUGACUUGAGUGAUCGGAUGAGAGUUUCCAAGAUGCGUUGCGCCUCUUGCAAUCGGAUGAGACACCAAAAGUCUAGUAUUCAGUGUCAGAUGGGUGUGUGCUGGCAGUAUUACGUUGGGUGAUAUAUGACCUGAAAGUUUUUGAGUUAUUUCCCUCAUCUUACAAGUCAAUUGUGUAAAGUUAAGUUAGGCCCAAGUUAAAUUCUAAGUAGCUACGAAGGUCUAUCCUUGAUCGGUUGAAUCACACUUCAAAGGUUCAGUCCUGAAUUUGAGGGGUGUGUUAACUAUUCUACAUUAUGACCUGAAAAUGUGUUUAUAAAUGGGAGUUCGACGCCAACUUCCAAACGAAAGAAGCGGAAAGUUGGAAGCAAAGAGUAAGAUUUUAUCCUGGAAGGACCUGAAAUUUAUUCUCCUUAUUUUGUUGUCCUUACAUGUGCUGUGAAAACACUGAUUUUGAGUGUCUCCAUAGGCUAAUUAGCUAGUAAUAUUUUUUUAUUUGGUUAGCAUUAAAUAUUUUCUGCAAGAUUGUAUAUAUGUGAGAAAAAACCAGUGCGGAAAAUGAAGAUAUGAAGUUUUGCAAUCUUUCAAUGA
Lathyrus oleraceus (garden pea) is the source of this 1387-nucleotide RNA transcript. RefSeq lists it as uncharacterized. Lineage: Eukaryota; Viridiplantae; Streptophyta; Magnoliopsida; Fabales; Fabaceae. The record is from RefSeq and is a predicted model, not a curated record. The transcript is spliced from 6 exons.